GUGUAUAAAGGUGUGCUGCUAGAUGGCAAUAAUGUAGCUAUCAAGGUUCUCAACCCCAAUGGAUUGCAUGGGAACAAAGAAUUCUGCACAGGAGCUAUGGCGUUGAGCAGGAUUUAUCACCCGAACCUUCUGAAGCUUGGUGGCUUUUGCACCGAUGAUAAUCAAAGAAUAUUGAUUUAUGAAUAUAUGCCUUUGGGCUCAUUGGAAAAACAUAUUUUCGAUCUUUCCCCUCAUAAGAAGGCGCUUGAUUGGAAUACAAGGAUUAACAUACUUGCUGGGGCGGCUGAAGGCCUGAAGCACUUGCAUGUUAACUGCAACCCUGCAGAGAUACACGGUGAUGUGAAAAGUGGGAACAUUUUGCUUGGCGAGGGAUGUCAUCCCAAGUUGUCUAACUUUGGCUUGGCAAAGCUAGGUCCGCCUGGUGACAAUACUCAUGUUCCAACCAGAGUGAUGGGUACAUCUGGGUAUUGUGCGCCGGAGUAUCUUGAGAGUGGUGAGUUGACUAUCAAGUCAGAUGUUUUCAGCUUUGGUGUUGUCAUAGUGGAGGUUAUCACAGGAAGAAACGCUUUAGGAUGGAGUCUUACCAGAGCUGAGCCUACCCUUGCUGAAUGGGCCACGCCUUUGACCAGGAGAAAUGAUUUUACAAAGUACGCCGACCCAGCGCUUGGCAACAAGUACAACAAGAAAUCACUGCUUCAGGUUCUUUCGGUUGCGCGGAUGUGUCUAAAUCCAGCAGCCAGCCUAAGGCCUGACAUGGCAGACGUAGCGGCGGCACUUACUAACAUCUCAAUGUCUGCUGGUACCGACGUAUAG
Molecule: ribosomal RNA, 813 nt
Filed under: Triticum aestivum (bread wheat)
Lineage: Eukaryota; Viridiplantae; Streptophyta; Magnoliopsida; Poales; Poaceae
Description: partial small subunit ribosomal RNA
Source: RNAcentral